CAGCAGCCGCGGGAAAACCAGCAGCCCAAGUGGUGGUCGCGUUUAUUGGGCCUAAAGCGCUCGUAGCCUGACCGGUAAGUUCCCCGUGAAAUCGGGUCGCCCAACGAUUCGGCUUGCGGGGAAUACUGUCGGUCUUGGGGCCGGGAGACGCCGAGGGUACUCCGGGGGUAGCGGUGAAAUGCUGUAAUCCUCGGGGGACUACCAGUGGCGAAGGCGCUCGGCGAUAACGGGCCUGACGGUGAGGGGCGAAAGCUGGGGGCGCGAACGGGAUUAGAUACCCCUGUAGUCCCUGUCUCUUAUA
Molecule: ribosomal RNA, 301 nt
Filed under: uncultured bacterium
Lineage: Bacteria
Description: partial 16S ribosomal RNA
Rfam family: Archaeal small subunit ribosomal RNA
Source: RNAcentral